RNAcentral lists this long non-coding RNA (5535 nucleotides) under Sorghum bicolor (sorghum). RNAcentral describes it as "long non-coding RNA (SBIC_LNC010936)". The record is from RNAcentral. Lineage: Eukaryota; Viridiplantae; Streptophyta; Magnoliopsida; Poales; Poaceae.
ACAGGAUGCCACGUGGCAGCAAACAAAGCCGACACGUGUCACACGCCACAUCAGCAAGUAGCCAUAUCAGCACGACACGUGUCGUUUGCCACGUCAGCAUGACUCGUGUUAGGUGCCACGUCAGCGUGACACAUGUCGGGCUCCACGUCAGCACGACACGUGUCAUGCCACGUGGCCUGCCACGUUAGCAGACAUGUCAGCUGCCAGCGUGGCAAAUGUCGUCUGUUGGCUAACGAGACAGCAUGUUAUGACGAAAGCAACGUACACCCAUGAUGAAACUAUUUUGUCAUAGAAUGGAUUCACUUCUAUGAUGGUACGUCUUUCGUCAUAGAUUGAAUGCACAUCUAUGACGAAAUUAUGCAUUUCAUCAUGGAAGUCAAUCUAUGACGCUCAUUCCAUGACGAACGAAAUUAUGCAUUCCAGAUGAAGUUUAGUGACGAUGUUGGAGUUUUCUGUGACGAAAGUGGAACAUCAUUGAUGAGCAGAUGUCUAGUAGUGAUAAAGAUUAAAUUCCUACCAAAGCCAUAUAUGAUACAUUUAGAGUUAGGAAAAUUUUUGCACAUUCAUGUUGCUUGCUUUACAUUGAGUUUAGUCAACCUUUGGAGUAUACCUUAUGAGAGUCUUGUCAUGCUUUUAAAAUUAAGAUCACUUACGAACUCCACCCACAUAUGCAUUACUCCUACUCUGGGAUGUAAGCACAAUCAUUUUCACCAUCAUCCAGAUCCACCUUAAAAAUGUUCUGUCUCCUACACUAGGAGUAAACACCCAAAAAUAUACCCUAAAGGACAGCCUCCAUUUAAUUGCUCUAUGUUCUUAUCAUUAUCUCUCCAAUUAUUUAUAUUCAAAGGAUGCAUGUGGCUAUGCAAAAUUAUAAAAAAAAGAAAGAAAAAAAGAGGAGUAAAAGAUGGACAAGUGUCCCAGCAAUUAAAACAAUGGGUACAUCGAUGCCCGCCUCCCAGUAAAAAAAAGAGAGAGAGAGAAAGAGAGAAUAAAAAUAACCCAUGUUUCCGUGCGAAAAGUUCUAAGUUUUAAAGGAGGGAGUAAUUUUCAAAGAGCAAAAGUAGAAAUAGGAUUAGCUACUAAAUACUAUAUAUGCACCUAUCCACCAUAUUCCAUACACACGCACAUCUUGAUUUGAUUGUAUGUCUUGAUUCUCUGUGGAUCCAGUGUUUGACUUUAUAAUAUAUGAAUUGCACGUAUGCUCAUCCUUGUUAUUGUCACUCCUAUAAGCUCCACUAUAUAUAUAUCCUUAGUUGUAGGAAGGCAUAACCUCAUUAAUGCCUCAGUGAGAUCCAUAAAUACUAUAUAAUAAGAGACUUGAGGGUGUCAUACAAUUAAGCUCUGAGUUUUUUUUUGAAAGCUUGCAAAACUCCAGAAUAUUGGUGCCGUGAAGAAUUUGAGACAUAGUGCCCGACUUGAUUGUUUUAUCACUCAAUUACUCAAGACUUAUGAAAAGUUGUAAAGCUCCAUGGUUAAAGGUAAAAUAGGUAAGUUGGAGAGAUAGACCGGAGGAAAAUUUAUGUUUAAAAGCAAGUAAGUAGGCUUGGGUUGUUUGCCAAGGGACUGGCAAAAGGUAAGCUUGGGGGAAUUGUUGACGGUCAAUAACGUCAACUUUUAUUAGAACUUUAAACCCGAAGGAGAACAUGAAUACACACUAGUAUAAGGUUUAAACUAACAAUUUCCACGAGUUUUGCAUAUUCUGUGUUUUCCAGGGUUUAUUUAAUAGAGAGCUGAAAAGAGGGAUUCUAGUGCAUAUUUACCACGAAACUCAUCCACGCCGGAAAAUAUCAUGAGAAGACUCAGGAAGGGUCUAGAAGACACUCGAAGAAACGAGAGCCGUGGAGGAGGAAAACUGGGGCCGGCCGGCCCCACCCUGUGGCCGAUCAGCGCCCUACUGUGCCCGAUGCCCGCUGGCUUCUAGAGUCUUCCUCCCACGCCUCCUUGGAAGCCAAGCAAAGUAUCCCUCCGUUGAUUUUAAGUCAGUUUGAUCUGACGAUGUACACAAGAUGAAGACUCAGAUCGCUAACGUGACGGUUCCUUGCCCCCUACUCCACCUCGGCCUAUAUAAUGAUGCCCAAGGCUCCCCCCAAGAGGUAUUCUACACCCCGGUGCUUCAUAUUCUCUACAUAAUUAGGGUUAGGGUGCCUCUAGUUGUUCUAGAUCUAGUUCAUCUAGUUCUAGUUCAUCUAGAUGUAGCAAUUAGGAGAGACUAGUUCUUCUAGAUCUAGUCUUGCUUAGAGAUUAGAGAGAUUAAGUAUAGGAGUAGAGAUUUUGGAGGAGUUAUGGCCUGUUGGUGCUUCUUCGUGGUUGUAUUCUUUGGGAUUCAGUUCCCUCGCCUAGAGCUACAUUCUGAGGUACUCUUUGUACUUACCCAUCUAGUUUAAGUAAGCAACUUGUUCUUAUUUGUUGUUUGGUUCACAACUCAUAUUGGGUGCUUUGAUCUUGGUCAUUACUUGGUUGAAGUAGUAUUUCGUAGUGUAGGUGUGGUGCCUAGGCUAGGGUUACUUGUGAAUGUCCCCUGAUCAGCCGGACAGUGGUAGUUCGCGUAGGUGACAGCUGCAUUGAUUCCUCUAUAGUCCACUUCCUGUUGAUAGAUUGAUAGGCUUAUAGGUGCCUGAUAGGGGGUUACUCUGGUUCUCCCCCUAUUCGGGUUACUUGCCUGAUAAGACGAUAUUAUACAAAGUUUACCGAAGUCGGAACAAGAGUGCAUUAGUAUUUCCUUUUUCUUGAUAUGAUCUAGCCUAAUUGUAGGGUUAAGUCUAUAUACUUUGUCAUCAUCACAACUAUUCCCUAUGGAUACGAUAUUUAAAACCUCCGGGUAAAAUAUGACACUGGUUGAUAUCUGUGCACUUGCGGAUAAUCCUACUUAAAAUCUAUUUAAAUGGAGUGCAGUUAAUUUAUACCAACAAACCUCCUAGCCAAAUCAAAGAACAAAGGUGACAUCAUCAUCACUAGAGGUAUGCAGCUAACAAGGCUCAAAAUAUAGAGAUACACAAGAGCGGAAGAAGAAGUCCACUUCGAAGGACUAAAAAUAUCGAACCCUCGCCGUAAGGUAACAUCGUUAGUUAUCUAUAUCUACUUCCUUACAUUGUAUGAGUUAAUUUCUCUUUAGUAUGUUUACUUUUCUAUAUUGGCAAUGCAUAGAAAUAACAAAAUUAAAUAGUCUCACAUUAGGCUAUAUUCAUGCAUCUUAGAAAAAAUAUUAAGCUCCAUAUGAAACCCUUGUAGUGUAAAAGCUGUAGGAGUUCUCACUGUAUUUGUACUUUAUGCAUAUAAACCCAUAAAAUCCAAAAAUAUUAACUGAGCAACUGUUGUCUUCAAAAUACUUUGAAACCACCACAACACCCAAUCCUCUAAAAAUGGUAAUCAUUAACGUUUUAUCCUAAUACCGUUCCACAAGUUUUGGUGUUUUGUGAGAGAUUUCUGUAGGUUGACUCCAAGAGCCUGCUUACUUAAGAAUCUUCAUCUUCAUCACUUGAAGUACACCUUUUUUCCAUACAGCUGACCCAUGUAUGAAUGAAAUAACUUCUAGUGUGAUGAGAUUGAAGUAUACGAGGCAACACUUGCUCUUAUAAACAUGAGCGCCUCCAUGAGGACCACUCAGUUUCAAUAAGGGAGAAAGAGAAUAAAGCCGAAGAGCUGGAGCCAAAAAAGAGAGAAGCAAAAGAGACAGGAGCGAGAUGGAAGAAGGCACGUGCGACAUCACCUCGAAAUAGGUAGUUGACUGAGGUUACCUUAGACGAUGAACCCAUUCAGUAAGUGUUCUCCUCUAUCUAAGUCCUGUCGGUAGACUUUAAAUUCCGUACCCUAGCCCUAAGGUUAGAAUGGUAGUUGUCUCUUUAAAUGCAUUUGUAAUUUAUUUAGUAGCAUAAUUUUUUUACACACUAAAAGAUAUAAAAACAACAAAAAUAUUUACUGCAUUACUCAUGGCAUCACAAGCCCCAUGUGGAUACCCUAUGGAAUUUUCCAAAGGAACAUCCGCUGUGGUGGCAUAAAAUAAAAAUGACAAAAAAUAGCAUUUAAAUUCCUACAUCAUAAAUAGAAAAUUCAAAAAAGAGAGAAAAUUGAAAUCUUGUUUAAAUUAUACAACAUUAAAGCUAGCUCUUAAAGGUGAUCAAUUACUCUUUGGCUGACCGCUAACCUAUUAACAAAUUCGAGCCUCGAAUUUUGGUUUUCUUUUCAGAGUAAUUAUGCAGGAACAACACUAUGACAAGGGGAGAGUCUAUUAGUGGCACCCACCUAGAGCGCUGCCGGUUAGCUCACUCUGAAGAUCAUCAACACCAACUAUUGCAAACAUCUAGCUUGGGGGAGGAGCAUCCCCUAGUUAUCAGGUAACUAUACCUAGGCGACUAUCGGGUCUAUUUUAUACAGCCAUAAAAUACCAAAAAUAUGUGAGCACAUGAAGGUUCACAAUAGUAUCAUAAGAAAAUAUAAAAAUACCAAAAAUAUAUGGGCACACGAAGGUCCAUGUCUUUAGAGUCUCCUAAGUCCAAUAGAAAUGAACAAAAAACCAAGCAAAAUACAUAUUUAUAUAUUAAGGUGUGAUCAUAGAGUGUGUCCACAGUCAGUCUAGUUUAGAGUCAAAUAAAAAUUAGAGAAUAUUAAAAUUUUAUCUUGGAGAUGAUGAAUAGUUGCCCUACAGUAAUUCCUUUCAAGUGCCUAAUUUUCAACCAUGAAUUCUCCUGAGUCUUAGACAUGACCACUUUAAUAUAAGAAUUUACUCUGAACCUAAAAUUUGUGGAGGUAUAUGUUUAAGUUGAGUCUAGGUAAUUGAUUGAUAUUAUACAUGAAGGUUUAAGCUGCUAUUUAUCUUAUUCCUAGCACUACUAAGUUCUGGAAUUUAUUUUCAAAAAAAAAACCCAAAAAUCUUACAUGAUGAGCUCUUGUAUGAUAAAGAUUAAAUUCCUACCAAAGCCAUAUAUGAUACAUUUAGAGUUAGGAAAAUUUUUGCACAUUCAUGCUGCUUGCUUUACAUUGAGUUUAGUCAACCUUUGGAGUAUACCUUAUGAGAGUCUUGUAAUACUUUUAAAAUUAAGAUCACUUACGAACUCCACCCACAUAUGCAUUACUCCUACUCUGGGAUGUAAGCACAAUCAUUUUCACCAUCAUCUAGAUCCACCUUAAAAAUGUUCUUUCUCCUACACUAGGAGUAAACACCCAAAAAUAUACCCUAUAGGACAGCCCCCAUUUAAUUGCUCUAAGUUCUUAUCAUUAUCUCUCCAAUUAUUUAUAUUCAAAGGAUGCAUGUGGCUAUGCAAAAGUAUAAAAAAAGAAAGAAAAGUGGGAGUAAAAUAUGGACAAGUGUCCCAGCAAUUAAAACAAUGGGUACAUCGAUGCCCGCCUCCCAGUAAAAAAGAGAGAGAGAGAGAGAAUAAAAAUAGCCCAUGUUUCCCUACGAAAAGUUCUAAGUUUUAAAGGAGGGAGUAAUUUUCAAAGAGCAAAAGUAGAAAUAGGAUUAGCUACUAAAUACUAUAUAUGCACCUAUCCACCAUAUUCCAUACACACACAUCUUGAUUUGAUUGUAUGUCUUGAUUC